AAUCAACGCUGGCGGCGUGCCUCAGACAUGCAAGUCGAACGCGAAAUUUCCCUUCGGGGAGAAAGUAGAGUGGCGCACGGGUGAGUAACACGUAGGUAAUCUACCUUCGGAUGGGGAAUAACAGUCGGAAACGGCUGCUAAUACCGCAUAAUGCAGCGGCACCUAAUGGUGACAGUUGUUAAAGCGGGGGAUCGAAAGACCUCGCGUCUGAAGAGGAGCCUGCGGCGGAUUAGCUAGUUGGUAAGGUAAUGGCUUACCAAGGCUACGAUCCGUAACCGGCCUGAGAGGGCGGUCGGUCACACUGACACUGACAUACGGGUCAGACUCCUACGGGAGGCAGCAGUCGGGAAUUUUGGCAAUGGGCGAAAGCCUGACCCAGCAACGCCGCGUGAAGGAUGAAUACCCUCGGGAUGUAAACUUCGCAAGAAUGAGAAGAAUAAGUAGGGG
RNAcentral lists this ribosomal RNA (447 nucleotides) under uncultured bacterium. RNAcentral describes it as "bacterial SSU rRNA". It matches the Rfam family "Bacterial small subunit ribosomal RNA", at positions 32 to 459 of the family's 1533-position model. The record is from RNAcentral.